GUGAAGAACGUAGCGAAAUGCGAUAAGUAAUGCGAAUUGCAGAAUCCGUGAGUCAUCGAAUCUUUGAACGCACAUUGCGCCCUUUGGUAUUCCGAAGGGCAUGCCUGUUCGAGCGUCAUUAUCACCCCUCAAGCCCCGGCUUGGUGUUGGGCUCUCGGUGGUCGUCUCCGACCACCCGUCUCAAAGAUAGUGACGGCGUCCCAGAGGGAACCGGUACGAGGAGCUUUCACGAGCAUGUACGCGGGACGACUCUGCGGGCGACGGUCUUAUUUACUUUAUAUACAAGUGUUGACCUCGGAUCAGGUAGGAAUACCCGCUGAACUUAAGCAUAUCAAUAAGCGGAGGA
Molecule: unclassified non-coding RNA, 346 nt
Filed under: soil metagenome
Description: partial contains 5.8S ribosomal RNA, internal transcribed spacer 2, and large subunit ribosomal RNA
Rfam family: 5.8S ribosomal RNA (bases 2-118)
Source: RNAcentral